RNAcentral lists this transfer RNA (93 nucleotides) under Salmo salar (Atlantic salmon). It matches the Rfam family "tRNA". Rfam says of the family: Transfer RNA (tRNA) molecules are approximately 80 nucleotides in length. Their secondary structure includes four short double-helical elements and three loops (D, anti-codon, and T loops). Lineage: Eukaryota; Metazoa; Chordata; Actinopteri; Salmoniformes; Salmonidae. The record is from Rfam by way of RNAcentral.
UUCCCUGUGGCUCAGUUGGUAGAGCAUGGUGUUUGCAACGCCAGCAUGGUGUUUGCAAUGCCAGGGUUGUGGGUUCGAUUCCCACGGGGGGGG